This 334-nucleotide unclassified non-coding RNA is filed under the name soil metagenome. RNAcentral describes it as "partial contains 5.8S ribosomal RNA, internal transcribed spacer 2, and large subunit ribosomal RNA". The stretch from base 1 to 120 matches the Rfam family "5.8S ribosomal RNA", at positions 35 to 154 of the family's 154-position model. The record is from RNAcentral.
GAUGAAGAACGAAGUGAAAUGCGAUAAGUAAUGUGAAUUGCAGAAUUCAGUGAAUCAUCGAAUCUUUGAACGCACAUUGCGCCCGCCAGUAUUCUGGCGAGCAUGCCUGUUCGAGCGUCAUUUCAACCAUCAAGCCCCAGGCAUGUGUUGGAGCCCUGCGGCUGCCGCAGCCUCCCAAAACCAGUGGCGGGCUCGCUAUCACACCGAGUGCAGUAGUUUACUCUUCGCUCAGGGCGUGUGGCGGGUGCUAGCCGUGAAACCCCCAACUUCUCAAGGUUGACCUCGGAUCAGGUAGGAAUACCCGCUGAACUUAAGCAUAUCAAUAAGCGGAGGA